Molecule: ribosomal RNA, 108 nt
Organism: Erinaceus europaeus (western European hedgehog)
Lineage: Eukaryota; Metazoa; Chordata; Mammalia; Eulipotyphla; Erinaceidae
Source: Ensembl
GUCUAAGGCCAUACCACCCUGAACAUGCCUGAUAUCGUCAGAUCUCAGAAGCUAAGCAGAGUGGGGCCUAGUUAGUACUUGGAUGGGAGAAAUAUUGAACUACAGAUA